Molecule: long non-coding RNA, 850 nt
Filed under: Homo sapiens (human)
Lineage: Eukaryota; Metazoa; Chordata; Mammalia; Primates; Hominidae
Description: S-phase cancer associated transcript 1
Source: RNAcentral
UACAGAUGAAGCUUCGUUUGCUCACUUCCUGUUGUGUGGCCCAGACAGGGCACUGUCUGUGGCCCCAGGGGUUGAGGACCCCUGGCUUUAACAACAGAAAGGUACCAUCUUACAGUUCUGGAGGCCAAAGUCUGAUAUCCAGACCCCAGUUACUGGAUUGGGAUCCACCCUCACUCAAUAUGGCCUCAGCUUAAUGAAAGACAUCUGCAGAGACCCUAUUUCUACUAAAAGCCACAUUCUGAGACUUCUCGUGGGCGUGCUUUGGAGGCCAGAGUGCAUGCGUACGGGCCCUGCACACGCUGAAUGUCACUGGGAACAAGGACACACCCCGCUUCCAGGAGAAGAUAGAACAUGUCGACCCCUUUUACCAUAUGACACAUUAUCAGACCAAACCAGAGCUCUUGGUUUUCGGAUCUGGGGAUGAAUUCUUUAGCACAGAUGGAACCAUGAACUUCUAUGAUCAACUGCCAGGAAGGAAAUACCUCAGAGCCAUCCCCAGUGCAGGACAUGCUAUUGACUUCCAUGAGACAAACACCUACUUGGAAAUCAGGUUUUUUCUGUACCUUUUGAAGGAGCAGGAAUUUCCCAGCAUUUCCUGGACAAAGACGGAGGCCACAUUCGCUGCAUCCUUUCCAGCAAGAUGUCAUUCUGAGAUUUUUGUCAUUCCUGGGCGUUAUGAGGACUGCCAAGGGACACAAUUCCAUGGGAGGAAAGUUUUCUUCUAAGCUGCAAGCCAGCUCUGGCUUCUGGAGUUUCUCCUUAGGAUUGCAAGACAGUAGUUCCCUGUCCUUUAGGUCUUCUCCAGAAAUACCUUAAAAUAGCAAAUAAAAUAAGAUAUAAGCAAACAAAA